Pipra filicauda (Wire-tailed manakin) is the source of this 303-nucleotide long non-coding RNA. RefSeq lists it as uncharacterized. NCBI's taxonomy places the organism in Eukaryota, Metazoa, Chordata, Aves, Passeriformes, Pipridae. The transcript has 4 exons. The record is from RefSeq and is a predicted model, not a curated record.
CGCUCCGCUCCGUCGGUCCGGUCCCGCCGUGCCCCGGAGAUGCUGUCGGGGCUGCGCCGCCGCCUCCCCCCCCCCCGGAAGCGACCCACGGCGGCAGAUCCGACGUCGGGCUCUGCAGGAGAUCGUCGCCGGGGUGACGAAGCUUAUGGAAAAAAAGACCAAAGGCCUCGAGGGUGACUUCUUCCCAGGGAUGUUCUUCUUGACCCCCCGGGGCAAACGGAGGUGUCAGCGUCAGGAGCCAUCCUAACUGAGGCCCUGGCUCCCUCUUUCCCUUCGGUCGCCGUGGGUGUGCCGGACGCCUCU